This is a long non-coding RNA of Cebus imitator (Panamanian white-faced capuchin), 782 nucleotides long. RefSeq lists it as uncharacterized. NCBI's taxonomy places the organism in Eukaryota, Metazoa, Chordata, Mammalia, Primates, Cebidae. The transcript is spliced from 5 exons. The record is from RefSeq and is a predicted model, not a curated record.
AGAAUCUAGCCUGAGAAGAGCUGUGAAAAUGAACCCCCAUCAAUCCCAAUAGAGGGGAGAAGAACUUUUCACAUCUGGGGAAGAACAUUCAGGGUCAAAGCUGCUCAUCUUGGGACAUUUGAAAGAUCUGAAUGUGUUUGAUAAGCCCCUAAAAGACUAACCUUUGCUAUUGCUCCUUGUGGGACAUAUUCAGAAAGGGAGAAACCAUAGCCACAGUAAAGAUUGGACACCCGGGCACUGUCAAGUAGCUCUCUUAUUCCGAGGCUCCAGCUUCAGUAAAGGAUCCUGGCCCAUCAGUGGAUCCUGUGAGGUACAGGUUUUAACAGAUGAGCAAAUGGAAGUACAGAGAUUUAGUAGAUUGUCAGUCACAUGCCUAUGAGAGAAAGACAUCUGGGAAACCUGAGAGCCACUGAGAGAUCAUCCUGUGUGAAGUCUGUGAUGGGAGACCCAAGAAACCCCAAAGGUUCCACUGAGGAAAGAACUUCCUGAAGACUCUGCGCUCUGUGAAGAUCAUCAAGAGGAGCAGUGUGCUGUGCAUGGUGAUGGCUGCAUUUGGGGGAAACUGAGGCCUGGAAAAAUGAAGUGUCUUGGCAAAAUGCCUGUGGGAGAAUCUUUGGAGCUUGAGGGUGAGCACAACUGAGAACACUGACAAGUCUAAGAAGAAGCUCUCAAGAAUGUUAUUAAAUGUAUUCUCCCACUCUGAUUCCUGAUCUCCCUAUCAUCUCAGUUAGAACCUUGGAAUCCAUUCACAGGAAUAGUGAAAACAUCAGGUGUCCAUCAGA